This 520-nucleotide ribosomal RNA is filed under the name uncultured bacterium. RNAcentral describes it as "bacterial SSU rRNA". It matches the Rfam family "Bacterial small subunit ribosomal RNA", at positions 19 to 518 of the family's 1533-position model. The record is from RNAcentral.
CUGGCUCAGGAUGAACGCUGGCGGCGUGCUUAAUACAUGCAAGUCGAACGGACGAAAUCGAAAAGCUUGCUUUUGAUCUAGUAGUGGCGAACGGGUGAGUAAUACGUAGGCAACCUACCUCAAAGAGGGGGAUAGCAGUUGGAAACGACUAUUAAUACCGCAUAGGUAAUUGGAAGGCAUCUUCUAAUUAUUAAAGGUGCGUUUGCACCGCUGUGAGAUGGGCUUACGCUGUAUUAGCUUGUUGGCGAGGUAACGGCUCACCAAGGCGAUGAUACAUAGCCGGUCUGAGAGGAUGAACGGCCACAUUGGAACUGAGACACGGUCCAGACUCCUACGGGAGGCAGCAGUAAGGAAUUUUCGGCAAUGGGCGAAAGCCUGACCGAGCAACGCCGCGUGAGUGAUGAAAAGGCCCUUGGGUUGUAAAGCUCUGUGGUAAAGGAAGAACACUAUGAUUAGGAAAUGAUUCAUAGCUGACGGUACUUUACUAGAAAGUCACGGCUUACUACGUGCCAGCCGCUGC